Molecule: ribosomal RNA, 746 nt
Filed under: uncultured Parvimonas sp.
Lineage: Bacteria; Bacillati; Bacillota; Tissierellia; Tissierellales; Peptoniphilaceae
Description: bacterial SSU rRNA
Rfam family: Bacterial small subunit ribosomal RNA
Source: RNAcentral
GACGAACGCUGGCGGCGUGCUUAACACAUGCAAGUCGAACGUGAUUUUUAUGGAAAGCCCUUCGGGGACGGAAGUAAAAUGAAAGUGGCGAACGGGUGAGUAACACGUGAGCAACCUACCUUACACAGGGGGAUAGCCGUUGGAAACGACGAUUAAUACCGCAUGAGACCACAAAGCCACAUGGCUUAGGGGUAAAAGAUUUAUCGGUGUAAGAUGGGCUCGCGUCUGAUUAGCUAGUUGGAAGGGUAAAGGCCUACCAAGGCGACGAUCAGUAGCCGGUCUGAGAGGAUGAACGGCCACAUUGGAACUGAGACACGGUCCAAACUCCUACGGGAGGCAGCAGUGGGGAAUAUUGCACAAUGGGGGGAACCCUGAUGCAGCGACGCCGCGUGAGCGAAGAAGGUUUUCGAAUCGUAAAGCUCUGUCCUAUGAGAAGAUAAUGACGGUAUCAUAGGAGGAAGCUCCGGCUAAAUACGUGCCAGCAGCCGCGGUAAUACGUAUGGGGCGAGCGUUGUCCGGAAUUAUUGGGCGUAAAGGGUACGUAGGCGGCCUUUUAAGUCAGGUGUGAAAGCGUGAGGCUUAACCUCAUUAAGCACUUGAAACUGGAAGGCUUGAGUGAAGGAGAGGAAAGUGGAAUUCCUAGUGUAGCGGUGAAAUGCGUAGAUAUUGGGAGGAAUACCGGUGGCGAAGGCGACUUUCUGGACUUUUACUGACGCUCAGGUACGAAAGCGUGGGGAGCAAACAGG